Molecule: ribosomal RNA, 463 nt
Filed under: uncultured archaeon
Lineage: Archaea
Description: bacterial SSU rRNA
Rfam family: Archaeal small subunit ribosomal RNA
Source: RNAcentral
AACGGGAUGGCUUUUCAUUAGUGUAAAGAGCUUUUGGAAUAAGAGCUGGGCAAGACCGGUGCCAGCCGCCGCGGUAACACCGGCAGCUCUAGUGGUAGCAAUUUUUAUUGGGCCUAAAGCGUCCGUAGCCGGUUUAAUAAGUCUCUGGUGAAAUCCUGUAGCUUAACUGUGGGAAUUGCUGGAGAUACUAUUAGACUUGAGACCGGGAGAGGUUAGAGGUACUCCCAGGGUAGAGGUGAAAUUCUGUAAUCCUGGGAGGACCGCCUGUUGCGAAGGCGUCUAACUGGAACGGUUCUGACGGUGAGGGACGAAAGUUAGGGGCGCGAACCGGAUUAGAUACCCGGGUAGUCCUAACUGUAAACGAUGCGGACUUGGUGUUGGGGUGGCUUUGAGCUGCUUCAGUGCCGAAGGGAAGCUGUUAAGUCCGCCGCCUGGGAAGUACGGUCGCAAGACUGAAACUUAA